GGGGCGGGUGGUUCGAGAACCGCGGGUGUUCCGGCGACGAUUACGCGAAAAGUCCGGCGUCAGAGCGUCACACGUCCCCGGUUGUCGCGUUCGCGCGUUUACCGGACCGGUGCGUUCAAACGUUGCGUACGACGCGCGCGCGCGUUUCCCGGCUGCGUGCGUACCGGAGGACGCGGGAAAAACGAUAGUUUAGAAAAAAAAAAAAAAUUAAAAUAUAGAGAAAUGAAAAUGAAAACGUACGGGCGAAUACCGCGGGCGAUACGGGCGAGACGACCGACCGCGUUCCGAACACCACCGGCGGGGGCGGAAAACGGAAAGAAAAAACGAAAAAAAAAUUUAAAAAAAAAAAAACGAACGACCGCGUUUUAUCGUUUCGAGUGUCCGGCGACGAAAUUUCAGACAGCCGUCGCACGUCUCCGUGGUCAUAAGCGAUAAU
Cinara cedri is the source of this 436-nucleotide non-coding RNA. NCBI's taxonomy places the organism in Eukaryota, Metazoa, Arthropoda, Insecta, Hemiptera, Aphididae. The record is from the annotation of a GenBank genome assembly.